GAUGAACGCUGGCGGCGUGCCUAAUACAUGCAAGUCGAGCGAACAGACGAGGAGCUUGCUCCUCUGACGUUAGCGGCGGACGGGUGAGUAACACGUGGAUAACCUACCUAUAAGACUGGGAUAACUUCGGGAAACCGGAGCUAAUACCGGAUAAUAUAUUGAACCGCAUGGUUCAAUAGUGAAAGACGGGUUUGCUGUCACUUAUAGAUGGAUCCGCGCCGCAUUAGCUAGUUGGUAAGGUAACGGCUUACCAAGGCAACGAUUCGUAGCCAACCUGAGAGGGUGAUAGGCCACACUGGAACUGAGAGACGGUCCAGACUCCUACGGGAGGCAGCAGUAGGGAAUCUUCGGCAGAGGGAGAAAGCAUGACGGAGCAACGCCGCGUGAGUGAUGAAGGUCUUCGGAUCGUAAAACUCUGUUAUUAGGGAAGAACAAAUGUGUAAGCAACUAUGCACGUCUUGACGGUACCUAAUCAGAAAGCCACGGCUAACUACGUG
RNAcentral lists this ribosomal RNA (497 nucleotides) under uncultured bacterium. RNAcentral describes it as "partial 16S ribosomal RNA". It matches the Rfam family "Bacterial small subunit ribosomal RNA", at positions 28 to 507 of the family's 1533-position model. The record is from RNAcentral.